GCAUGUCUAAGUAUAAACAAAUUUAUACAGUGAAACUGCGAAUGGCUCAUUAUAUCAGCUAUAAUUUAUUUGAUGAUACCUUUUACUACUUGGAUAACCGUGGUAAUUCUAGAGCUAAUACAUGCAUUAAACACCCCAACUUUUAUCGGAAGGGGAGCAUUUAUUAGAUACAAAACCAGUGGGGGCAACCUCUUACUUGGUGAUUCAUAAUAACUAAGCAUAUCGCAUGGCCUUGUGCGGCGAAGGAUCAUUCAAAUUUCUGCCCUAUCAACUUUCGAUGAUAGUAUAGAGGACUACCAUGGUGGUAACGGGUAACGGGGAAUUAGGGUUCGAUUCCGGAGAGGGAGCCUGAGAAACGGCUACCACUUUUAAGGAAGGCAGCAGGCGCGCAAAUUACCCAAUCCUGAUACAGGGAGGUAGUGACAAUAAAUAACAAUCCAGGGCCUUUUAGGUCUUGGAAUUGGAAUGAGUACAAUUUAAACCUCUUAACGAGGAACAAUUGGAGGGCAAGUCUGGUGCCAGCAGCCGCGGUAAUUCCAGCUCCAAUAGCGUAUAUUAAAGUUGUUGCAGUUAAAAAGCUCGUAGUUGAACCUUAGACUGUCGAAUUGAUGGAUUUGUUUUGCUGUUUUUUCAGUGGCUUUCGGGUUACUGGGAUGACAGUUGAAUUGCCAUUUUUUCCUAGUCUUUACCAAUCUGGAGUUUGAGGAGUGGGGAUUUCAGUAGCAAUGCUGAGCCUUGCUUUUAUAACCAGACCUUUUACCUUGAAAAAAUUAGAGUGUUCAAAGCAGGCAUUUUUGCCUGAAUAUAUUAGCAUGGAAUAAUAAAAUAGGACUUUGGUUUUAUUUUGUUGGUUUCUGAAACCAAGGUAAUGAUUAAUAGGGACAGUUGGGGACAUUUGUAUGGUACUGUCGGUGGUGAAAUACUUGAACCAGUACCAGACAAACUGAUGCGAAAGCGUCUGUCAAGGAUGUUUUCAUUAAUCAAGAACGAAAGUUAGGGGAUCGAAGACGAUUAGAUACCGUCGUAGUCUUAACCAUAAACUAUGCCAACUCGGGAUCAGGCAAUGUUAAAUUUUUAACGACUUGCUUGGCACCGUAUGAGAAAUCAAAGUUUUUGGGUUCCGGGGGGAGUAUGGUCGCAAGGCUGAAACUUAAAGGAAUUGACGGAAGGGCACCACCAGGAGUGCGUGCGGCUCAAUUCGACUCAACACGGGAAAACUCACCAGGUCCAGACAUAGUGAGGAUUGACAGAUUGAGAGCUCUUUCUUGAUUCUAUGGGUGGUGGUGCAUGGCCGUUCUUAGUUGGUGGAGUGAUUUGUCUGGUUAAUUCCGAUAACGAACGAGACCUUAACCUGCUAAAUAGGCAACGCUAUUGGAUAGGGUUGGAUUUAUCCUUCUUUUUUCAAUGGGCGGAUUUGCUUCUUAGAGGGACUGUUAGUGGUUAACUAACGG
RNAcentral lists this ribosomal RNA (1451 nucleotides) under Harpella melusinae. Its description in RNAcentral is "SSU rRNA". It matches the Rfam family "Eukaryotic small subunit ribosomal RNA", at positions 53 to 1440 of the family's 1831-position model. The record is from RNAcentral. Lineage: Eukaryota; Fungi; Kickxellomycota; Harpellomycetes; Harpellales; Harpellaceae.